RNAcentral lists this unclassified non-coding RNA (353 nucleotides) under soil metagenome. RNAcentral's name for it is "partial contains 5.8S ribosomal RNA, internal transcribed spacer 2, and large subunit ribosomal RNA". The stretch from base 1 to 120 matches the Rfam family "5.8S ribosomal RNA", at positions 35 to 154 of the family's 154-position model. The record is from RNAcentral.
GAUGAAGAACGUAGCGAAAUGCGAUAAGUAAUGUGAAUUGCAGAAUUCAGUGAAUCAUCGAAUCUUUGAACGCACAUUGCGCCCGCCAGUAUUCUGGCGGGCAUGCCUGUUCGAGCGUCAUUACAACCCUCAGGCCCCCGGGCCUGGCGUUGGGGAUCGGCGGAAGCCCCCUGCGGGCACAACGCCGUCCCCCAAAUACAGUGGCGGUCCCGCCGCAGCUUCCAUUGCGUAGUAGCUAACACCUCGCAACUGGAGAGCGGCGCGGCCACGCCGUAAAACACCCAACUUCUGAAUGUUGACCUCGAAUCAGGUAGGAAUACCCGCUGAACUUAAGCAUAUCAAUAAGCGGAGGA